RNAcentral lists this ribosomal RNA (214 nucleotides) under uncultured bacterium. RNAcentral describes it as "partial 16S ribosomal RNA". It matches the Rfam family "Bacterial small subunit ribosomal RNA", at positions 524 to 732 of the family's 1533-position model. The record is from RNAcentral.
CACGUAGGGUGCGAGCGUUGUCCGGAAUUAUUGGGCGUAAAGAGCUCGUAGGCGGUGUGUCGCGUCGGCCGUGAAAACCUGCAGCUUAACUGUGGGCGUGCGGUCGAUACGGGCAUCACUGGAGUUCGGCAGGGGGAGACUGGAAUUCGUGGUGUAGACGGUGAAAUGCGCAGGAUAGUCAGGAGGAACACCGGUGGCGAAGGCGGGUCUCUGG